RNAcentral lists this unclassified non-coding RNA (486 nucleotides) under Hevea brasiliensis (rubber tree). Lineage: Eukaryota; Viridiplantae; Streptophyta; Magnoliopsida; Malpighiales; Euphorbiaceae. The record is from RNAcentral.
CCUUGCCUGAACCAACAUAGAAAUAAUUUUUUUUAUGCGUAGCUUAACAGAUCAUAAAUGAGGUUUAUAGAGAAGAUAAUAUUAGAAUUUACAUGGCACUUCAAUUAGCAUGACAUGUUUUCUAUAUGCUUCAAUACUUCAGUGACGACAUUUUUCACACACACAAAUGCACAGGGAGAGAGCCAAAAAACAACAAUUAGAUAAGUUAUCAAAAAACUCUGAUUCAACCAACUGGAGAUACCCUUGUUUUGAGCAACCAAACAACAAAACAAAUAACAAGUGCAUAUUAAUUUGCAUGGCAAGUAUUUCAAUAUCUCUAGCUUUUUCUCCCUAAACUCCAGAAGUAUUUAAAUUUUACCACAUGAAAACAUCUGAGCAUCUUAUUAAGGAAAGGAAUAAAAUAGAAAUUCUUGGAGUAAAAAGGAACGAACCAAGUAUCCUCUAAACGCCGUUUGAAUUUUGAUAGCAGCUAUUUCCUCCCUUGAA